Molecule: long non-coding RNA, 242 nt
Filed under: Ananas comosus (pineapple)
Lineage: Eukaryota; Viridiplantae; Streptophyta; Magnoliopsida; Poales; Bromeliaceae
Description: long non-coding RNA (ACOM_LNC039187)
Source: RNAcentral
UGCACCCCGCUGUCGAGUCAUGAAAGUGGGCUUAACAUGCUAGGCAAUGUGCUAGAGCAUCAACACAUAUAAUAAAAGGAAAAUAAAAGGAGAACUCUAAGUUGGCCGCGCGCGGCCUCCCAAUAAAUAAAUCAAAACCCAAAACAGAACUGAUUAAUACUGGUGUAAGCAAACCGAAACUGCUACAAGCAACUUAAAGGAAACCGGGUAAAACAAAAAGGUGAGGAAAAAAACAGGAAUCA